AGUGAACGCUGGCGGUAGGCCUAACACAUGCAAGUCGAACGGCAGCACAGUAAGAGCUUGCUCUUACGGGUGGCGAGUGGCGGACGGGUGAGGAAUACAUCGGAAUCUACUUUUUCGUGGGGGAUAACGUAGGGAAACUUACGCUAAUACCGCAUACGACCUACGGGUGAAAGCAGGGGAUCUUCGGACCUUGCGCGAUUGAAUGAGCCGAUGUCGGAUUAGCUAGUUGGCGGGGUAAAGGCCCACCAAGGCGACGAUCCGUAGCUGGUCUGAGAGGAUGAUCAGCCACACUGGAACUGAUACACGGUCCAGACUCCUACGGGAGGCAGCAGUGGGGAAUAUUGGACAAUGGGCGCAAGCCUGAUCCAGCCAUACUGCGUGGGUGAAGAAGGCCUUCGGGUUGUAAAGCCCUUUUGUUGGGAAAGAAAAGCAGCAGGUUAAUACCCCGCUGUUCUGACGGUACCCAAAGAAUAAGCACCGGCUAACUUCGUG
This 492-nucleotide ribosomal RNA is filed under the name uncultured bacterium. Its description in RNAcentral is "partial 16S ribosomal RNA". It matches the Rfam family "Bacterial small subunit ribosomal RNA", at positions 29 to 507 of the family's 1533-position model. The record is from RNAcentral.